This 83-nucleotide transfer RNA is filed under the name Candidatus Woesearchaeota archaeon. RNAcentral describes it as "tRNA-Leu". It matches the Rfam family "tRNA". Rfam says of the family: Transfer RNA (tRNA) molecules are approximately 80 nucleotides in length. Their secondary structure includes four short double-helical elements and three loops (D, anti-codon, and T loops). The record is from RNAcentral. Lineage: Archaea; Nanobdellati; Candidatus Woesearchaeota.
GCGGGAGUGCCGGAGUGGUCAAACGGGACGGAUUUAGGCUCCGUUGGCGCAUGCCUACGCAGGUUCGAACCCUGUCUCCCGCA